RNAcentral lists this ribosomal RNA (254 nucleotides) under uncultured bacterium. RNAcentral's name for it is "partial 16S ribosomal RNA". It matches the Rfam family "Bacterial small subunit ribosomal RNA", at positions 524 to 776 of the family's 1533-position model. The record is from RNAcentral.
UACGUAGGGUGCAAGCGUUGUCCGGAAUUAUUGGGCGUAAAGAGCUCGUAGGCGGUCUGUCGCGUCGGCUGUGAAAACCCGAGGCUCAACCUCGGGCCUGCAGUCGAUACGGGCAAACUAGAGUACUGCAGGGGAGACUGGAAUUCCUGGUGUAGCGGUGAAAUGCGCAGAUAUCAGGAGGAACACCGGUGGCGAAGGCGGGUCUCUGGGCAGUAACUGACGCUGAGGAGCGAGAGCGUUGGGGAGCGAACAGG